Molecule: long non-coding RNA, 1117 nt
Organism: Clupea harengus (Atlantic herring)
Lineage: Eukaryota; Metazoa; Chordata; Actinopteri; Clupeiformes; Clupeidae
Source: Ensembl
CAGUUAGUCUCUCUUCCUGUCACACACUACGUCACUAAUUGGGGAAUGGAAUACGAUUGAUUAGGCUACCUGACGUAUUACCCACAGGCUAUGUAUAGACACCUGGGGUCCUAAAGCCGGUAGCUUGUUGUCAACACCACUGGUUCUAGGGCUGUGUAGCAGAGUCACGGGUGCUGCGUGAAAGCAACAGGUAUGUCUGAGCAAAGGUUUAUUUAAGUUCUUCCGUCACUGAUGAAUAGCUUGCUAAGUGGCUACUUGUUUUAACAAUUGUAUAGGAGGGCGAGCCGCUGUAUGUUGAUGUGCAUGUGGGAGAAUGACGCCGUGUUGUUGUGCGUAACAAGUGUCUGCUGGGCACUGUUACCGUAGCAGUGAGGGGAGUUGUUCUCAGGAAGCCAUCAGCUACAGUGUUCGUAGCCUUGUUGAAAAGGUAUGUUAUGCCUGAUCUGUGUACUGUGUGGCAUACCAGCAGGCCAUAGCGGCCAUUCAUUUUGUACGGGUAAUAAUGUAGGCUGGCUAACACUGCCAUGUCUUGAUGUUUUUAAUUAGUGUUCUGCCAUUGCCUUUUCCAUGUGUACUGCUUUUAAGGCUGUGGGAUUAGCAAAGUUGAUUACUGUUGUGAUUGCUAUUUUGCACAAUGGUAAAGUACCAGUAACCAUCUUACCAGUGUUUGUUUUAUAUACUUGCAGUGAUAGACCCUCGCAGCUACACAGGGAUGCUAGUUGCUGUUCUCUUUUAAUGUGUGUUUGAUGCAUUGGUGCCGCUUAUAGUUUGUUUACUUUUCUUUUUUUGUUCCUCUAGCCUAUCGGCCUAAGUAGCUUGUGUAGGUACCACCUAUUUAAUGUGAGCCGCAGGCUAGAGUGGAUUUAUUUUGUUUGUUAUUUUUCUUGUUUACUGUACUUCCAGUUUGUGUGUCUCCCUCCCCCCUCCACAGCUAAUAGCCUCGGUGCUUAUGUGACAGUGGCGAGGUAAUUUGCUAGGAUAGUUUUAAUUGUCGACUACGCCACCUAGGUAGUCACCCUAGGACAGAUAUAGACUCAGUGUUCCUUUAGUUCUAACAAGGCAAACACAAGUUCGUACCACUCUUAGGCCAGAGACAUGGGUUCCAUAAAUACAGUUU